RNAcentral lists this ribosomal RNA (391 nucleotides) under Cryptotermes nitens. Its description in RNAcentral is "partial large subunit ribosomal RNA". Lineage: Eukaryota; Metazoa; Arthropoda; Insecta; Blattodea; Kalotermitidae. The record is from RNAcentral.
CUCUUCUUGUUUUUUGAUUUGAAGUAUGGCCUGCCCGCUGAUGGAUUUGAAGGGCCGCGGUAUUUUGACCGUGCAAAGGUAGCAUAAUCAUUAGUUCUUUAAUUGUGAGCUGGUAUGAAUGGUUUGACGAGGCAUUAUCUGUCUUUAAUUUGGAUUUAUUGAAUUUAUUGUUUGGGUAAAAAUACCUAGAUUUAUUUAUGGGACGAGAAGACCCUAUAGAAUUUUAUAUGAUGUGUUCUUUUUAGUUUGUUGUACUUUGUGAAUUGUUUAUAUUUUGUUGGGGUGAUGGGAGGAUAAAUUUAACUCUUCUUUUUUGUUUUCACUUAUUUGUGUUUUUGUGAUCCUUUAUUAUUGAUUGUAAGAUCAAAUUACCUUAGGGAUAACAGCGUAA